RNAcentral lists this long non-coding RNA (1585 nucleotides) under Parus major (Great Tit). RNAcentral's name for it is "lncRNA (ENSPMJG00000004261.1)". The record is from RNAcentral. Lineage: Eukaryota; Metazoa; Chordata; Aves; Passeriformes; Paridae.
CUCCAGGAAUCUCUCAGGGUGAAUAGGAUCUCAGGCUGGGGGAAGCUGUGCUGCUCCUGAUGUGGAUAUCAGUGUUGGUGAUCCUACAGUCUGCACCAGACAAGGCAAAAAGACUUUUUGCAUAUCAGUGCCAGAUUCAGAAGUGUUUGACAAGAGCCUGUGAGUCAGCAGCUUUGCUAGAACACCUGCUGUCAGCAGGAGAUGCUCCUGGAAGCAAACCUGAAGGAGGAGAAAUGCUGCAUCAGGAGCACUUAACUUCAGGUGCUGAAAAUGGGCACAGAGGCAAUGGGUAUAGGCAUUUUGGCCUGUUCCAACGUGGAUGUUGGAUGAAAUUCCAUGCCCCAAGCUUUGUGUCAGAAGUGCCUCCCUGGUAGCAGGAGAGCUUGGAAUUAGAAGUGAGGAGUGUAGAGGAGGGUGCUGCCUGAGGCUGAGGCAUUCCCCUUUGAAAGCAGGUACACUUUUCUUCCAGCCUAACUUCCUUUCAAAAAGAAAGGGAGGGAUAUCUGAUUGCCUUAGCAAGGGCGACACUGUCAGAUUGACUUUAGAAUUGUCUUUGAUGUUUUAUUGUCCUUAGGAUAUAAAUCAGACGAGGAUUUGUUAAAAAAUAGCUAAGCUGUCUGUGUAUUGUUUCCUUUAAUAUUUCAGUGCUAUUGUGUGCAAAAUUUUGUGUCAAAAUUUUAGAGGAGUGUUUGGCUAUGUAGGAUUUACCCUGUGGAUUAGGAUGCCCUUAAUUUCAUUUUGGAGUUAAUGAGCUGGGAGAGACUCCCUCCUGCUGUGGUGCAAAACCUUUCAGGCUAGGAAGAGGAUGCUGCCUGGGCUGCCAGCAGUGCCUUUGGUGAGUGGUACAAUUGGCAAAACCCCCUCUGUAUGCCUCAAUUUCCAGAACUGAAGUGGGGAACAGCUCUUUGCACUCCUACCCCAUAGCAACAGAAUGUCAAAUAACCAACAGUAAUUAUCCAGAACCUGGGAAGGGGCAGAAACUGUUACCUUUGCAGAAAAAAUGAUAGUUGAAUUAAUUUUGCUGAUUGGGAUGUUUAUUUCAUACAUGUCACAUUUAAAGGAGGUAUUUUUGAUAUGUGUCCACUUCCAAGCAGUGUAUGUGCCUCGUGUGGAAUGCUCUAGAAAGUCCCUGAGAUGCUGUCACACCCAGCACAAGUGACAAGGUGAUGCUGAGAGUACACACAGCAAUCCGUGCUCCAACUCCAGGCUUAAAUGAGGGGGAAAAACCUGGAAGAGGGUGACAUGGCCUUGCUUUUUGGAGAUGACCUCUGAUAACCAAAGGGAGCUGGGGCUCUGGGAACUUGGUAGAGGAAUUCACGUGGGAAAAGCCAGAUAUGGGCAGGGAAUGUAAAUGAGCACUGCGCCUUCCUAACAUGAUUUGUUCAGCCUCUUGGAAAAUUUGGGAGAUUGUAAUGAGUAUUAUUUGAUUACAUUUUCUAGACAAUAUCCCACUGACUUUGUUUAUUAGUUUUGGAAUUUGAUUUGUAUUUAUAGCGAAGUGUCUACCCUGCUAUCUUAGCACUUGAUAGCAACUAAAAUGCAAACAGCAGAAAUUAUCAUAAUAAAUGUUUACAGCUUUUUGUCA